GCAGAUGUGGGCAAUUCCUUUGUUAUGUCAUUGUCAGUUAAGCAGAUAAAAAGCCUCGAGAUCAUUUGAGGUGUGGUGCUUGCAUUUUGACGAUUUUGCUGCGAACAAACAAGGUGCGGCUCUGUAUGCAGGUGCAACAAGCAAUCCUUAAGCUGAAAAAACAGAAGAAAAAAACAAUUGCUACAAUAUCAGGAGUGGCAAAAACUACAGUUUGGUACAUCCUGAGAAAGAUAGAAAGCACUCGUGAACUCAGCACCUGGACCUGGAGGUCCACAGAAGACAACAGUGGUGGAUGAUCACAGAAUCAUUUCCAUGGGGAAGAGAAACCCCUUCAUUUCAUGUCUUGAUGCAUGCUCAAUCAUCCAGGUAAGGAAAUCCCAAAAAGGGGAUUCUGUUCACCUGGACAAAGUGUUUUCAGUGGAAGAAACAUUUUGUCACUCAUCCAAGUGACUUCUUCACUCUCAGCUGGCUGCAGGUUUCCCCAAUCUUAUAAACAGUAAAUUUGCACAAUGACUGAAACUGGGCAGUGGGCUGUGAGGUCAUAACCUCACAACAUCCAACCAACUGAACUACACCGUCUACCAGAAAGAGAAGACUGAAUGAAAGUAAAUGCAAAUGGUUCACUGCAAGGUCCAAGCCACUCAUAAGACUCAAGAAUAGAAAGGCUCAAAAAAACCAAACAAACACAGUCCUGGAAAAGUAUUCUUUGAACAAGAAAAACGCAUGCAGAAGGCGUGGAACAGCUCAUGAUCCAAAGCAUACCACAACAUCUGUAAAACACGAUGGAGGCAGUGUGAUGGUUUGGGUAUGCAUAGCUGCCGUAGGCACUGGGACACUAGUGUUUAAUGAUGAUGUGACACAGGACAGAAGAAGCUGAAUUAAUUCUGUGGUCAGAGACAUACUGUCUGCUCAAAUCCAGCUAAAUACAGUCAAAUUAAAUGGGCGGUUUUUAAUAAUACAGAUUGACAAUGAACCAAAACCUACACCCAAAGCAACCCAGGAGUUUAUUCAAGCAAACAAGUGGAAUAUUCUUGAAUGGCCUGGUCAGCCACCAUAUCUUGAUCCAGCUGAGCAUUUCACUUGUUGAAGACUAAACUUCAGACAGAAAGGCCCACAGACAAACAGAAAUUGGAUGCCGCUGCAGUAGAGGCCUGGCAGAGCAUCAAAAAGCAGGAAACACAGCAUGUCCAUGAGUUCAAGACCUCAGGCUGUCAUUGCCAGCAAAGUUGGAUCACUGCAGUAAUGGAGCAUUUGAAGGCACUUUGUCUCAGGCUGCCUCCUCCUUCAUGGACCUUCUCGAUAUUUCAAACAUCUCCACUGCUGUGAAGGAUGCUGUUCACCUGUUGGUCAGCGCGUUGGACACUCUGCCAGAUGAAGUGCCGCCACUUCUGACCUGCUGCAGUCCAGACACUCUGAGAGUGCUCAACCAGUUGGUGGAUGGUCUGAAGGACGGUCGGGCCACACUGCCAGAGUCCCUGCCCGUCCCCCUGCAGGAGGGAGGGGAGCUCCGCUGGGCGGCCGAGUUCAUCUGUUUGAACGAUCAGAAGCUGAAAGAGUUGAGUGACGGCUGGGACCGGCCCGAGCUGCCCCCAGAGGUUCUGCUGGAGGUUCUGUGCCUCGCUGUGCAGGGACUCAGCCUCCUGAUGCAGCCCACAACAAACCCUUAAUGUCAGCUGCUGUGAUCUUUGUUAACCUGUUUUCACAGCAGCGUUCUGCAUCUUUGAACGUUUCUGCCAUUGUUUCCUGAACUUUCAUCUGUCAAAGAUCAAAAACAAAAAGAAUAAUCUAAUAAAAUAUAUAUAUAUUUUUAAAUAAAUAAAACUUCAUACUUUUAUGUUCGGCUCAUGGUUUUAAUAUUUUAUUAGUUUUUGCUGCACUCCUUUAUGUUCUGUCCUGUUCCCUCCUCUGUGCCCCUGACCCUGUUUCCAUGCUUGUUUACUGUUAGUUAUUUUUACAAUAUUGAUAUAGAACUAAUCUCUUGAAAUAUCAUAUAUCAGAUUUGGUACUUGAGAGACAAGAAAAAGAAGUGACAGCAUGCAGAGAAGGAGGCUAAACAUUGUGCCCUCUGCUCCAGAGACAGUCCUCACAAACAGGCGAUAGAAACUGUAGGGUCAGAGUCUGGACUGAACCUGUCAAGAGUAUUUUUGUUUUUAAAGGUUUUAUUAUUCAUAUAAUAAUCAGCUAAGAGUGUUUAUAUUUCUGUCUUGUACUCAACCAGCUGCAUAUUUUAAUUGCUGGCUCUCUACUCUGUAACGGAAACUGUUUGCCUUCACAUUAAUUGUCAGCAGCAGGAAACCGCCACCCAAGAGCAAGAAACAACCUUGUAGAGAAUACAAAGUUCUUGAGAAAUCCCACCUGCUUGCUUGACAAGAUAAGCAUGAUAUUUCCUUUUUUGUAUGCUUCCUGUUGUGUAUAAAUAAAGGCAGCGAGCUGCUCCACGGUGUGUGAGUCUCCCCCUGAGUCUCUCACCCGUGCACGUUAAACUGCUGAA
Long non-coding RNA from Astatotilapia calliptera (eastern happy), 2491 nucleotides. Lineage: Eukaryota; Metazoa; Chordata; Actinopteri; Cichliformes; Cichlidae. The record is from Ensembl.